AGCAGCCGCGGUAAUUCCAGCUCCAAUAGCGUAUAUUAAAGUUGUUGCAGUUAAAAAGCUCGUAGUUGAAUUUCGGGGUCAGUAGGCUGGUCGUGCCACAGGUAUGUACUGGUCUCACUGAUUCCUCCUUCCUGAUGAACCGUAAUGCCAUUAAUUUGGUGUUGCGGGGAAUCUGGACUGUUACUUUAGAAAAAUUAGAGUGUUUAAAGCAGGCUAACGCUUGAAUACAUUAGCAUGGAAUAAUGAAAUAGGACGAUCGAUCCUAUUUUGUUGGUUUCUAGGAUUGACGUAAUGAUUAAUAGGGAUAGUUGGGGGCAUUAGUAUUCAAUUGUCAGAGGUGAAAUUCUUGGAUUUAUUGAAGACUAACUACUGCGAAAGCAUUUGCCAAGGAUGUUUUCAUUAAUCAAGAACGAAAGUUAGGGGAUCGAAGACGAUCAGAUACCGUCGUAGUCUUAACCAUAAACUAUGCCGACUAGGGAUCGGAUGAUGUUAAUUUUUUAAUGACUCAUUCGGUCCG
Molecule: unclassified non-coding RNA, 517 nt
Filed under: uncultured Glomus
Lineage: Eukaryota; Fungi; Glomeromycota; Glomeromycetes; Glomerales; Glomeraceae
Description: SSU rRNA
Rfam family: Eukaryotic small subunit ribosomal RNA
Source: RNAcentral